UGUGUAGGCGGGUCGUUAAGUGUCUUGUGAAAUCCCCCGGCUCAACCGGGGAAUGGCUGGGCAUACUGGCGAUCUUGAGCAGUCUAGGGGCAGAUGGAACAGACGGUGGAGCGGUGAAAUGCGUAGAUAUCGUCUGGAACGCCAAAGGUGAAGACAGUCUGCUGGGGACUUGCUGACGCUGAGACACGAAAGCCAGGGGAGCGAACGGGAUUAGAUACCCCGGUAGUCCUGGCCCUAAACGAUGUCGACUAGAUCGUGGGACCUCUGACGGUUUCACGGUCGAAGCAAAAGUGCUAAGUCGACCGCCUGGGAAGUACGGUCGCAAGGCUAAA
Molecule: ribosomal RNA, 332 nt
Filed under: uncultured bacterium
Lineage: Bacteria
Description: bacterial SSU rRNA
Rfam family: Bacterial small subunit ribosomal RNA
Source: RNAcentral